CGUAGGGUGCAAGCGUUAAUCGGAAUUACUGGGCGUAAAGCGUGCGCAGGCGGUUAUGCAAGACAGAUGUGAAAUCCCCGGGCUUAACCUGGGAACUGCAUUUGUGACUGCAUAGCUGGAGUACGGCAGAGGGGGAUGGAAUUCCGCGUGUAGCAGUGAAAUGCGUAGAUAUGCGGAGGAACACCGAUGGCGAAGGCAGUCCCCUGGGCCUGUACUGACGCUCAUGCACGAAAGCGUGGGGAGCAAACAGGAUUAGAUACCCUGGUAGUCCACGCCCUAAACGAUGUCAACUGGUUGUUGGGAGGGUUUCUUCUCAGUAACGUAGCUAACGCGUGAAGUUGACCGCCUGGGGAGUACGGCCGCAAGGUUG
Molecule: ribosomal RNA, 370 nt
Filed under: uncultured organism
Description: bacterial SSU rRNA
Rfam family: Bacterial small subunit ribosomal RNA
Source: RNAcentral